CCAGAUGACGAGCAUCACGCAGACCGACAUCAUCAGCACGCUACAGUCGCUCAACAUGGUCAAGUACUGGAAGGGCCAACACGUCAUCUGCGUCACCCCCAAGCUGGUCGAGGAGCACCUCAAGAGCGCCCAGUACAAGCGGCCGCCGAUCACGGUCGACUCCAUCUGCCUCCGCUGGGCGCCCCCCAAGCACAAACAGGCCAAGAUGUCCAAGAAGUGACGGCGCCGGCUGUAGCUACCGCCGCACCGCGACUGUUGGUUUGGGGGUUUUUUUU
This is a long non-coding RNA of Nothoprocta perdicaria, 275 nucleotides long. RefSeq lists it as uncharacterized. The transcript has 2 exons. The record is from RefSeq and is a predicted model, not a curated record. Lineage: Eukaryota; Metazoa; Chordata; Aves; Tinamiformes; Tinamidae.